RNAcentral lists this ribosomal RNA (624 nucleotides) under Triticum aestivum (bread wheat). RNAcentral's name for it is "partial small subunit ribosomal RNA". The record is from RNAcentral. Lineage: Eukaryota; Viridiplantae; Streptophyta; Magnoliopsida; Poales; Poaceae.
AUGUCCGGUGAAUAUGGCCCUCGGCAUCUGCAGCUAUAUAUUUACGAUACAGAUGAAAACUUGAUUCAUAGGAUUAAGAGGUCUUCAGAUCUUAGGCUAGAUCUCAUACAGAAGAUUCUGACAAUACUACAACAUAACCCUUAUGCUCAAGCUUUUAGAAGCAUUGGUGAUGUUUCGUAUCUGGAUGAAUAUAUGAUCUCACUGAACACAGAUAUCAACCUUGAUGAGCGAAGGUACAAUGCCCCAACUACUUUGCAAGUAGCAGCAAUAUGGGUUGAAGGAAGUGACCCUCAAAAUAGCUUUGAUAGGAGUGUUGUCUUGUACGGCAAAGGAGAUCGCCCCGUGUAUAUUAGAGCAUACUAUGGCUGCUAUGACCCUUUGUCAUAUGCACUAUUCUUCCCACGUGGGGAGACCGGUUGGAAUCGUUGGAUGCCAUAUAUUGGGCUCCCCGAUGCCACAACCCAAGGUUCAGUGCAUGAUUCUGCACCACAAAGGAACCAAGCCACUGAUUUUCAUUCAGAUGACAACGAUGAUAACCUGGAGGAGUUUGGAGACAAUGAGAUUAAUGCCACAAAAUCCAGGAAAAUUGUUAGCGCGAGGGAGUACUAUUGCUUCAAGCUAUAG